Non-coding RNA from Picea glauca (white spruce), 119 nucleotides. The record is from Rfam. Lineage: Eukaryota; Viridiplantae; Streptophyta; Pinopsida; Pinales; Pinaceae.
ACAUGUGUACAACAUAGCGUUAAUGCAUCGGAUCCCAUUGGAAGUUUGUUUCUAAGUGCACUCGAGCUAGAGUAGUACUAGGAUGAGACCGCCUGGGAAUUCCUACUGUUUUACAUGCU